RNAcentral lists this small RNA (51 nucleotides) under Thalassionema nitzschioides. RNAcentral describes it as "partial Mitochondrion-encoded tmRNA". Lineage: Eukaryota; Bacillariophyta; Fragilariophyceae; Thalassionematales; Thalassionemataceae. The record is from RNAcentral.
AGCAACUGUCAAUUUCUGGCUCGAGCGAUUCGAAAUACAAAGUAUGAAAAU